CCUACGGGAGGCAGCAGUGAGGAAUAUUGGUCAAUGGACGAGAGUCUGAACCAGCCAAGUAGCGUGAAGGAUGACUGCCCUAUGGGUUGUAAACUUCUUUUAUAUGGGAAUAAAAUGUUCCACGUGUGGGAUUUUGUAUGUACCAUAUGAAUAAGGAUCGGCUAACUCCGUGCCAGCAGCCGCGGUAAUACGGAGGAUCCGAGCGUUAUCCGGAUUUAUUGGGUUUAAAGGGAGCGUAGGUGGAUUGUUAAGUCAGUUGUGAAAGUUUGCGGCUCAACCGUAAAAUUGCAGUUGAAACUGGCAGUCUUGAGUACAGUAGAGGUGGGCGGAAUUCGUGGUGUAGCGGUGAAAUGCUUAGAUAUCACGAAGAACUCCGAUUGCGAAGGCAGUUCACUGGACUGCAACUGACACUGAGGCUCGAAAGUGUGGGUAUCAAACAGGAUUAGAUACCCGAGUAUC
Molecule: ribosomal RNA, 459 nt
Filed under: uncultured bacterium
Lineage: Bacteria
Description: partial 16S ribosomal RNA
Rfam family: Bacterial small subunit ribosomal RNA
Source: RNAcentral